GAUGAACGCUGGCGGCGUGCCUAAUACAUGCAAGUCGAGCGAACGGACGAGAAGCUUGCUUUUCUGAUGUUAGCGGCGGACGGGUGAGUAACACGUGGAUAACCUACCUAUAAGACUGGGAUAACUUCGGGAAACCGGAGCUAAUACCGGAUAAUAUUUUGAACCGCAUGGUUCAAAAGUGAAAGACGGUCUUGCUGUCACUUAUAGAUGGAUCCGCGCUGCAUUAGCUAGUUGGUAAGGUAACGGCUUACCAAGGCAACGAUGCAUAGCCGACCUGAGAGGGUGAUCGGCCACACUGGAACGGAGACACGGUCCAGACUACUACGGGAGGCAGCAGUAGGGAAUCUUCCGCAAUGGGCGAAAGCCUGACGGAGCAACGCCGCGUGAGUGAUGAAGGUCUUCGGAUCGUAAAACUCUGUUAUUAGGGAAGAACAUAUGUGUAAGUAACUGUGCACAUCUUGACGGUACCUAAUCAGAAAGCCACGGCUAACUACGUG
Molecule: ribosomal RNA, 497 nt
Filed under: uncultured bacterium
Lineage: Bacteria
Description: partial 16S ribosomal RNA
Rfam family: Bacterial small subunit ribosomal RNA
Source: RNAcentral